Molecule: ribosomal RNA, 440 nt
Filed under: uncultured bacterium
Lineage: Bacteria
Description: partial 16S ribosomal RNA
Rfam family: Bacterial small subunit ribosomal RNA
Source: RNAcentral
CCUACGGGUGGCAGCAGUAGGGAAUAUUGCUCAAUGGGGGAAACCCUGAAGCAGCAACGCCGCGUGGAGGAUGAAGGUUUUCGUAUUGUAAAGCCCUUUUAUCAGGGAAGAAAAUGACGGUACCUGAGGAAUAAGCCCCGGCUAACUACGUGCCAGCAGCCGCGGUAAUACGGAGGGUGCAAGCGUUACUCGGAUUCACUGGGUGUAAAGGGAGCGUAGGCGGGAGUGCAAGUCUGAUGUGAAAUCCUGUGGCUUAACCAUCGAACUGCUGUUGAAACUGUAGUUCUGGAGUACAGGAGAGGUAAGUGGAAUGCCUGGUGGAGCGGUGAAAUGCGUAGAUAUUAAGAGGAAUACUGAUUGCGAAGGCGGCCUGCUGGACUGUAACUGACGUUGAGGCGCGAAAGCGUGGGGAGCAAACAGGAUUAGAUACCCCAGUAGUC